This 241-nucleotide unclassified non-coding RNA is filed under the name Hevea brasiliensis (rubber tree). The record is from RNAcentral. Lineage: Eukaryota; Viridiplantae; Streptophyta; Magnoliopsida; Malpighiales; Euphorbiaceae.
AAAGUGUACUGUGCAAGCUCCCUGUCAAACAGCUAGUUAGCUUCUACUGACAUAAUGUCAAUGAAGAAUGAAGAUAUCAUAAAAGUCUAUACUCAUCAUGUGUCAUUUAAGAAAAGAUAAGAGAGAGCAGGAAAAAAAAAUCAAUCCCAUUCUAUUCAUUGGUUUUUACAAAGAUAGGAAUAACUUUUAAAUCAUUCAAUUUAAACUUAAAAAAACUGCGUGACCUCCUCAGAUUUAAAGG